RNAcentral lists this ribosomal RNA (500 nucleotides) under uncultured bacterium. RNAcentral describes it as "partial 16S ribosomal RNA". It matches the Rfam family "Bacterial small subunit ribosomal RNA", at positions 30 to 523 of the family's 1533-position model. The record is from RNAcentral.
AUUGAGCGCUGGCGGAAUGCUUUACACAUGCAAGUCGAACGGCAGCACGGACUUCGGUCUGGUGGCGAGUGGCGAACGGGUGAGUAAUGUAUCGGAACGUGCCCAGUCGUGGGGGAUAACGUAGUGAAAAUUACGCUAAUACCGCAUACGAUCUAUGGAUGAAAGCGGGGGAUCGCAAGACCUCGCGCGAUUGGAGCGGCCGAUAUCAGAUUAGGUAGUUGGUGGGGUAAAGGCCCACCAAGCCAACGAUCUGUAGCUGGUCUGAGAGGACGACCAGCCACACUGGAACUGAGACACGGUCCAGACUCCUACGGGAGGCAGCAGUGGGGAAUUUUGGACAAUGGGCGAAAGCCUGAUCCAGCCAUUCCGCGUGCAGGAUGAAGGCCCUCGGGUUGCAAACUGCUUUUGUACAGAACGAAAAGGUUUCUACUAAUACUAGGAGCUCAUGACGGUACUGUAAGAAUAAGCACCGGCUAACUACGUGCCAGCCGCCGCUGUAA